Molecule: long non-coding RNA, 797 nt
Filed under: Musa acuminata (dwarf banana)
Lineage: Eukaryota; Viridiplantae; Streptophyta; Magnoliopsida; Zingiberales; Musaceae
Description: long non-coding RNA (MACU_LNC005974)
Source: RNAcentral
CCAUACAGACAAGGCAGUUCCUUGCAGAUCCUUUUGGAUUAACAAAUUAUUUCAAAAUGAUUCUGUCAGGUCCUUUUUUAUAAUGUAGAUUUCACAACAAUAUUGUGGCACCUUCAAGUAGACAACCACAGAUCUCCAUUGUCAGGGCCACGUAUAACNNNNNNNNNNNNNNNNNNNNACCAUCAUUGACUUGAUGGGUUUCUAAAAGUACUUACAUUCUGCAUAUUUUUACAAAAUUGAAGAAUGCUUGAGAUCUUUUCUUGUUGACAAAAUUGGAAUAGAAAGGGUGAAGAAUUCUGAUGAGAAGUCAACUUCAAUAUCAUGGCUCAUAAACAUAAAAUUCACCACAUGUGGUAUAGAACCAUAGAUCAUUUUUUUCCUCUCUGUAUGCUUCUUCUAUGUCUCAAAUUACAUAUCAAAUGCAAGUGCCAUACAGACAAGGCAGUUCCUUGCAGAUCCUUUUGGAUUAACAAAUUAUUUCAAAAUGAUUCUGUCAGGUCCUUUUUUAUAAUGUAGAUUUCACAACAAUAUUGUGGCACCUUCAAGUAGACAACCACAGAUCUCCAUUGUCAGGGCCACGUAUAACUAAUUUCUCAUCCUACCAUGACUUGGUGCCAUGGUCUAAAUUGGAGUGAGUAUCAUGUGCACUGACCAGUAUUUACCAGUCCAAGCUGGGCCCUUUAUGCAGGCUGCCUCAUACUGAAAGCAUACACCACAUGCCACUUCAGAGUUCAGACUGGGCAGAUCUUAGUGUUUUAGCAUUGGAGACCAGCCAAUACCAAAAUACAAUACCACCC